This is a long non-coding RNA of Pygoscelis adeliae (Adelie penguin), 2973 nucleotides long. RefSeq lists it as uncharacterized. Lineage: Eukaryota; Metazoa; Chordata; Aves; Sphenisciformes; Spheniscidae. The transcript is spliced from 2 exons. The record is from RefSeq and is a predicted model, not a curated record.
UUACACGACAAAGACCGGAAGAUUUUGUUCAGCGGAGACGUGGUGUACGACGGAUCCAUGAUUGACUGGCUUCCCUACAGCAGAGUUUUGGCCUAACACAGCUCGUGCCAAGACCUGGUGUGCGCUGGGAGCAGCGCCAUUAGGUCCAAGCAAGAACAGCACCUACGCAGGACUCAGUGGGCAGCAAGAGGUAAGGGCCAUUCUGCAGCCGUUGUCACCUGCCGCUCACUGUCUGCUGCACCCAUCAUCGCCUGCAUCUUUGCAAAGCAGCUGUCUGGCAGUUUCUUUAGAAUCCACUAAGGUAUGGAAAUGCUAUACACCAAACUUGCGAGCUGGAAGGUAUAUAGAUACAUCAGCUUACCCAAAAAGCUUUUGAUUCGGAUCCAACAGCUGAUGGACUGUUGAGAUUUUCAUGCUUCCCGGUGUGGUGAAGGGGACACCUGCACCAUGACAGAGGAGCAAGAGUGAGCACUCUCACUGUUGGCUAGGGAGCUGUUUUGCUUACGGGUGUGCGAGUUAGGAAUUAAAAGAAUUUGUGAACCAAUGAAUUAAUGUGCUAGACUAGUCUGUACAAAGCGGAUUGAGCCCUUGCUUGAUGUGUUUGUUUUUUUUCUGAUGAGCUCAUAAAAAAAAAUUUACUUGCAGAGUACAUUGUUCUGUAAAUUUGAGAGAACUGGACUGUGACGAGCUUAAAGGUUUUAUUUGUGUUUAAGAGUAUUUUUAUGUGACUGGAUUGUAAUUCGGUUGUUAAUGCUCUGUGGUAGGGGAAGGAUGGAGGCAUUACCAUUACCUUGCCCUACUGCAGGUGCUGGAUUAAACAGCCAGUACACUUGUUAUCACAAAGUGAAUGUAACUUGAACUGUUACACUGUUUGCUUAUGAAGUGUUUAGUGCAUUUUUUUUUUCAUGAAAAGUAAAGUGCAUUGCAUUUGAGUCUGUUCAAAAAAAAGUUAAAUACAUUGAGAAAUGCUAAAUGGCAUUGUAACUUGCUUAUGAAAAUUGAAUGUGAGAUGUUUAAAAGCUGCUGAAAUGGUUAAAGUUUGUGUAAUUAUUCUAACAGUCUAUACAUAUUUAACUUUUUUAAAAGGACACUGUCUGAUGUUAUUUUUGUAUGUAGCCAUAUAUACUUGCCUAAAAACAGUGCAAAUGUUUUUCCCAAAUUUUAGUGGAGUUUAACCUUAUUUGUUUGGCUUUCACUUUAUGGGGAAGCUUUUUUUUCCCCCUCUCAUCAUAGCCAACAGAAAGGGAGCCCAAACUUUGGGCUCUGUCUAAGGCAUGGGGGAAUGGAAAUCAAUAGCCUUCUUAAUCGGUGUAAAUUCUGGUGAAAAAAAAAAGUUGCAAAGUAAAAAGCAUCUCUGUCUAAAAAUUUUGAAAGAGAGUAUCUUAUAUAAUGCUUUUCUCCUUUCACAGAUCACUGCACUCCUGCCUUUACUAUUUGAAUAUAUUCUUCACCAGGAUUUGUACUGAUAGCUUGUGACGUGCCUAGUUCUUGUUAGCCGUGCCUAUCUCCAAGCUGAAGCAAAAUUGUGAGUGGGCAGGACAGGUGUAGCAAUGCAACGCUUGAAAGACCUGUUAUCACUCGGAUCAUGGUCUCUUUUCUGGAGAAAUCCAGGUACAUCAGUGUAUUACAUGAGGAGUGGUUAAUCAGUGGGUAGACUUCUGUCAUAAAUGAAGCUAAGAGGUUUUUAUCUUGGCCUCAUUCAGCCAGAGGAAGAAAUACAAAAGGUUAGCCCGGGAAGCAAAAAAACCAUUUAGUGAAGAGGCCCAGAACAAACUCCACAGUGUGGUUUUCCUUUUUAGCCUGCUGACACAUGCUGCUAUUCACGCAGCAGUCCAGACACUGUUCUUGAUAGCCAAAGGUUCAUGGUGGACAAUCACCGAUCUGAGGUGGCAACCCGGAAAGUCAGAAUGGCAGAAAAAAUACAUAGCACUGAAGCUUACACCAGUUAUCCAGAUGAAGCCAUGGUGUCACCGGUUACCCAACAGUAAUUGACUAAAUUCCUUCAAAUUAGCCAUCUGUGGCAUAAACCCGGUAGUAGUCUUGCUUUGUGAAGGCUGUAGGAGCACUGGUGAUAACCCUGCGCAAUAACGCGGACAGAGAGACCUCUUCUGUCAAAAGCCUGACAAUACGUAUGCCAGCUGCUGAAAUUUUGCAAAUGUUCAUUAGGAGAGUGAGAUCACGUUGAAUUAGCAUUUUGUGUUACACCACUAUCGGUUUGUUUAUUUGAUCCAAUAUUAGAAGCCCUGUAGCCAGAUUUUACUGUAUUGUAAAACCUGAGCUCCUAAGAGAAGGCUCACAGGCAUGCCAAUUCAAAAGGAAAGAUGCCCUCCAUCGUUUGUGUUUAAAUCUCUGCUCAGCAUCAGCUACAAGAUCCCUAAAUGUCCAGAUCACUGUCAAAAUGCCCUAUUAAGCCAUGCUUAAGUCCAUUAAGUAUACGCAGAUAACGGCAAUUGCCAGGGUUUUUUUCCUUGACCAAAAUCUAGGGAAUAAUUUCCUAGCUCAGAAGUGAGCUUUACAUGAACAUAGCCCAAAAUGGGGCAUGUUAAUAAACUGCUGCUAUAAUCCAGUCAAAAGUAGUUUUUGAGGGUCUUAAAAUUAUUUUUGUAUUACAAGAAAUUCACUACUAGGUCAAUGAUAUGUCUUAAGUAUAAAGAACUGGCUCUGACUAUUUUUGUUAAGAAUUACCAAGUUUUAGUUGUAAGAGUUUGACAGUGUCCCUUUAACACUACUUGGAUUAAAUAUUUAAAACAUACAUUGUAAGUUUAAAUAUUGCAACAUCUUGGGCAUUUAGAACUGUGUAGAUUUAUUUGUAAAAUCUAAAUGUAUGUUAAUGCAGUUUUCAGUAGAUUGGCAAAAAAAUCAGAUGGGAAGUUUUGCUCUGUAAUCUGUCAAGACUUUUGUGAUGUUAAACAACAGUUUACACAUAAAAAAUACUUUUACCGUAGAUAAUCGUAAUAAAAAAUGUUAUAAUCC